CACCUCCCUGGGCACCAGCCGCUCCUUGGUGGGCAGGUUGGAGUACUGCACCACGGUGGGCACACCGCAGCUGGGUCCAUGCCAGCCGGGCAGGCACACGCACUCCACCCACUUGCGCCGCGCGCCCCGGCCGCCCGUGCGCUCCCGGGCGCUCAGCAGAGGAGGAAACCAGGACUUAGGGGCCUUCAGGGACCUGCCCAAAGUCACAACAGAGCUGGAGUGUGAACCAGGCAGCUGGGCUCUGCACCAGGUGCCCCUCAUGGCCUCAGCUUGGCGAGAAGUCCUGAGAAGGCUGGCUGCUAGGAGGCUCAGAAGCACACAGCCUCAGAAGCACACAGUGGUUAGCCCCGAGCAUGUCAACAGUGCCUCACAGACAGCAUUUUCUUGGACUCCUUCACUUGCAGCUGCCCGCACAGUUUCAAUCCUUUUCAGCUCAAUUCCUUUUUGUCUUUUCGUUUUUUUAUUGAGACAGCAUAUAAAUAAAAUGGAACAAAUAAGCACUGGCA
Molecule: non-coding RNA, 506 nt
Organism: Macaca mulatta (Rhesus monkey)
Lineage: Eukaryota; Metazoa; Chordata; Mammalia; Primates; Cercopithecidae
Source: RefSeq, a predicted model, not a curated record